This 77-nucleotide transfer RNA is filed under the name Acidobacteriota bacterium. RNAcentral's name for it is "Acidobacteria bacterium (freshwater sediment metagenome) tRNA-Pro". It matches the Rfam family "tRNA". From Rfam's summary of the family: Transfer RNA (tRNA) molecules are approximately 80 nucleotides in length. Their secondary structure includes four short double-helical elements and three loops (D, anti-codon, and T loops). RNAcentral also lists the same sequence under 5 other names. The record is from RNAcentral. Lineage: Bacteria; Pseudomonadati; Acidobacteriota.
CGGGACGUGGCGCAGCCUGGUAGCGCACCUGAAUGGGGUUCAGGGGGUCGCGAGUUCAAAUCUCGCCGUCCCGACCA